UAAUACGGAGGAUCCGAGCGUUAUCCGGAUUUAUUGGGUUUAAAGGGUGCGUAGGCGGCCUAUUAAGUCAGGGGUGAAAGACGGCAGCUUAACUGUCGCAGUGCCUUUGAUACUGAUGGGCUUGAAUGCGGAUGAGGUAGGCGGAAUGAGACAAGUAGCGGUGAAAUGCAUAGAUAUGUCUCAGAACUCCGAUUGCGAAGGCAGCUUACUAAGUCGUGAUUGACGCUGAUGCACGAAAGCGUGGGGAUCAAACAGG
Molecule: ribosomal RNA, 256 nt
Filed under: uncultured archaeon
Lineage: Archaea
Description: partial 16S ribosomal RNA
Rfam family: Bacterial small subunit ribosomal RNA
Source: RNAcentral